This 465-nucleotide ribosomal RNA is filed under the name Vreelandella stevensii. RNAcentral's name for it is "partial 16S ribosomal RNA". It matches the Rfam family "Bacterial small subunit ribosomal RNA", at positions 338 to 795 of the family's 1533-position model. Lineage: Bacteria; Pseudomonadati; Pseudomonadota; Gammaproteobacteria; Oceanospirillales; Halomonadaceae. The record is from RNAcentral.
CCUACGGGGUGCAGCAGUGGGGAAUAUUGGACAAUGGGCGAAAGCCUGAUCCAGCCAUGCCGCGUGUGUGAAGAAGGCCUUCGGGUUGUAAAGCACUUUCAGUGGGGAAGAAAGUCUUGGGGCUAAUACCCUCGAGGAAGGACAUCACCCACAGAAGAAGCACCGGCUAACUCCGUGCCAGCAGCCGCGGUAAUACGGAGGGUGCGAGCGUUAAUCGGAAUUACUGGGCGUAAAGCGCGCGUAGGCGGUCUGAUAAGCCGGUUGUGAAAGCCCCGGGCUCAACCUGGGAACGGCAUCCGGAACUGUCAGGCUAGAGUGCAGGAGAGGAAGGUAGAAUUCCCGGUGUAGCGGUGAAAUGCGUAGAGAUCGGGAGGAAUACCAGUGGCGAAGGCGGCCUUCUGGACUGACACUGACGCUGAGGUGCGAAAGCGUGGGUAGCAAACAGGAUUAGAUACCCCAGUAGUC